This 495-nucleotide ribosomal RNA is filed under the name uncultured bacterium. RNAcentral describes it as "partial 16S ribosomal RNA". It matches the Rfam family "Bacterial small subunit ribosomal RNA", at positions 28 to 507 of the family's 1533-position model. The record is from RNAcentral.
GACGAACGCUGGCGGCGCGCCUAAUACAUGCAAGUAGAACGCUGAAGGAGGAGCUUGCUCUUCUGGAUGAGUUGCGAACGGGUGAGUAACGCGUAGGUAACCUGCCUGGUAGCGGGGGAUAACUAUUGGAAACGAUAGCUAAUACCGCAUAAGAGUAGAUGUUGCAUGACAUUUACUUAAAAGGUGCAAUUGCAUCACUACCAGAUGGACCUGCGUUGUAUUAGCUAGUUGGUGGGGUAACGGCUUACCAAGGCGACGAUACAUAGCCGACCUGAGAGGGUGAUCGGCCACACUGGGACUGAGACACGGCCCAGACUCCUACGGGAGGCAGCAGUAGGGAAUCUUCGGCAAUGGACGGAAGUCUGACCGAGCAACGCCGCGUGAGUGAAGAAGGUUUUCGGAUCGUAAAGCUCUGUUGUAAGAGAAGAACGAGUGUGAGAGUGGAAAGUUCACACUGUGACGGUAUCUUACCAGAAAGGGACGGCUAACUACGUG